GGCUUGGUGGUGGAAUGGUCCAUAUCUGCAUUCAAUACCGCAACUAUCUUUCACCUGCUUAUGCAGAAGUAGCUCGUUCGAUUCGGGCCCAAGCCA
Mycena latifolia is the source of this 96-nucleotide non-coding RNA. NCBI's taxonomy places the organism in Eukaryota, Fungi, Basidiomycota, Agaricomycetes, Agaricales, Mycenaceae. The record is from the annotation of a GenBank genome assembly.